UGGGGAAUAUUGCACAAUGGGGGGAACCCUGAUGCAGCGACGCCGCGUGCGGGAUGACGGCCUUCGGGUUGUAAACCGCUUUUAUUGGGGAGCAAGCGUGAGUGAGUGUACCUUUUGAAUAAGCACCGGCUAACUACGUGCCAGCAGCCGCGGUAAUACGUAGGGUGCAAGCGUUGUCCGGAAUUAUUGGGCGUAAAGAGCUCGUAGGCGGUUUGUCGCGUCUGGUGUGAAAGUCCAUCGCUUAACGGUGGAUUGGCGCUGGGUACGGGCAGGCUAGAGUGUAGUAGGGGAGACUGGAAUUCUCGGUGUAACGGUGGAAUGUGUAGAUAUCGGGAAGAACACCAAUGGCGAAGGCAGGUCUCUGGGCUAUUACUGACGCUGAGGAGCGAAAGCGUGGGGAGCGAACAGGAUUAGACUACCCGUGGUA
This 427-nucleotide ribosomal RNA is filed under the name uncultured bacterium. Its description in RNAcentral is "bacterial SSU rRNA". It matches the Rfam family "Bacterial small subunit ribosomal RNA", at positions 355 to 792 of the family's 1533-position model. The record is from RNAcentral.